CCCGCCACUAUGCCUGUCUGUCAGUGACUCUCGGUGUAAUCCAGUGGAGGCUUAGAGUGACCCAGCUUUUAGGAAACAGUGCUGCCCCAAACAAGUGGUCAACCCUGUGCCAAAAGUCUGGAACACUC
This is a small nucleolar RNA of Syngnathus acus (greater pipefish), 128 nucleotides long. RefSeq annotates it as small nucleolar RNA SNORA65. The transcript has a single exon. NCBI's taxonomy places the organism in Eukaryota, Metazoa, Chordata, Actinopteri, Syngnathiformes, Syngnathidae. The record is from RefSeq and is a predicted model, not a curated record.